AAGAUCAUACUUUCAGGGAUCAUUUCUAUAGUUUUUGACUUGAGAAAUAUCGUACGAAAGUGAUCGGUUACUCUAACCACGAUGAAGAGUACUGAUGUUCCCUUCUGAGCGCGAAGCGGGCAGUGAGUGAUGAUUUACUUCAUCCGCUCCUUGUCAUUGAUGACCGUUCCUUGCUCCCUAGUGGAGCCUGGAGGUAGGGAACAUGAUCAGAGUGGUU
This is a small nucleolar RNA of Gadus morhua (Atlantic cod), 217 nucleotides long. Ensembl annotates it as small nucleolar RNA U3. Lineage: Eukaryota; Metazoa; Chordata; Actinopteri; Gadiformes; Gadidae. The record is from Ensembl.